RNAcentral lists this transfer RNA (69 nucleotides) under Ictidomys tridecemlineatus (thirteen-lined ground squirrel). RNAcentral's name for it is "Spermophilus tridecemlineatus (thirteen-lined ground squirrel) tRNA". It matches the Rfam family "tRNA". From Rfam's summary of the family: Transfer RNA (tRNA) molecules are approximately 80 nucleotides in length. Their secondary structure includes four short double-helical elements and three loops (D, anti-codon, and T loops). Further hydrogen bonds mediate the characteristic L-shaped molecular structure. tRNAs have two regions of fundamental functional importance: the anti-codon, which is responsible for specific mRNA codon recognition, and the 3' end, to which the tRNAs corresponding amino acid is attached (by aminoacyl-tRNA synthetases). tRNAs cope with the degeneracy of the genetic code in two manners: having more than one tRNA (with a specific anti-codon) for a particular amino acid; and 'wobble' base-pairing, i.e. permitting non-standard base-pairing at the 3rd anti-codon position. Lineage: Eukaryota; Metazoa; Chordata; Mammalia; Rodentia; Sciuridae. The record is from Rfam by way of RNAcentral.
GGGAUUGUGGCUCAGCAGUAGAGUGCUCACCUAGUAUGUAAGAGGCACUGGGUUUGAUCCCCAGCACCA